Long non-coding RNA from Oncorhynchus mykiss (rainbow trout), 4951 nucleotides. The record is from Ensembl. Lineage: Eukaryota; Metazoa; Chordata; Actinopteri; Salmoniformes; Salmonidae.
ACACUUACCAGGACCUCCUCGUUACCCCAUGUACAGACACACACCUACCAGGACCUCCUCGUUACCCCAGGUACAGACACACCUACCAGGACCUCCUUGUUACCCCAGGUACAGACACACCUACCAGGACCUCCUCGUUACCCCAGGUACAGACACACACCUACCAGGACCGACUCGUUACCCCAGGUACAGACACACCUACUAGUAUCGCCUCGUUACCUCCGGUACAGACACACCUACCAGGACCUCGUUAUCCCAGGUACAGACACACACCUACCAGGACCUCCUCGUUACCCCAGGUACAGACACACCUACCAGGACCUCCUCAUUACCCCAGGUACAGACACACACCUACCAGGACCGCCUCGUUGCCCCAGGUACAGACACACCUACCAGGACCUCCUCGUUACCCAAGGUACACAAACACCUACCAGGACCGCCUCGUUACCCCAGGUACAGACACACACCUACCAGUAUCACCUCGUUACCCAAGGUACACAAACACCUACCAGGACCUCCUUGUUACCCCAGGUACAGACACACCUACCAGGACCUCCUCGUUACCCCAGGUACAGACACACACCUACCAGGACCUCCUCGUUACCCCAGGUACAGACACACACCUACCAGGACCUCCUCGUUACCCCAGGUACAGACACACACCUACCAGGACCGACUCGUUACCCCAGGUACAGACACACCUACCAGGACCUCCUCGUUACCCCAGGUACAGACACACAACUACCAGGACCUCCUUGUUACCCCAGGUACAGACACACCUACCAGGACCUCCUCGUUACCCCAGGUACAGACACACACCUCCCAGGACCUCCUCGUUACCCCAGGUACAGACACACACCUACCAGGACCGACUCGUUACCCCAGGUACAGACACACCUACCAGGACCUCCUCGUUACCCCAGGUACAGACACACACCUACCAGGACCUCCUUGUUACCCCAGGUACAGACACACCUACCAGGACCUCCUCGUUACCCCAGGUACAGACACACACCUACCAGGACCUCCUCGUUACCCCAGGUACAGACACACACCUACCAGGACCUCCUCGUUACCCCAGGUACAGACACACCUACCAGGACCUCCUCGUUACCCCAGGUACAGACACACCUACCAGGACCGACUCGUUACCCCAGGUACAGACACACCUACCAGGACCUCCUCGUUACCCCAGGUACAGACACACCUACCAGUACCUCCUCGUUAACCCAGGUACAGACACACUUACCAGGACCUCCUCGUUAACCCAGGUACAGACACACUUACCAGGACCUCCUCGUUUCCCCAUGUACAGACACACCUACCAGUACCUCCUCGUUACCCCAGGUACAGACACACCUACCAGGACCUCCUCGUUACCCCAGGUACAGACACACCUACCAGGACGUCUCGUUACCCCAGGUACAGACACACACCUACCAGGACCUCCUCGUUACCCCAGGUACAGACACACCUACCAGUACCUCCUCGUUAACCCAGGUACAGACACACUUACCAGGACCUCCUCGUUACCCCAUGUACAGACACACCUACCAGGACCUCCUUGUUACCCCAGGUACAGACACACCUACCAGGACCUCCUCGUUACCCCAGGUACAGACACACACCUACCAGGACCGCCUCGUUACCUCCGGUACAGACACACCUACCAGGACCUCGUUAUCCCAGGUACAGACACACACCUACCAGGACCUCCUCAUUACCCCAGGUACAGACACACCUACCAGGACAUCCUCGUUACCCCAGGUACAGACACACACCUACCAGGACCGCCUCGUUACCCCAGGUACAGACACACACCUACCAGGACCGACUCGUUACCCCAGGUACAGACACACCUACCAGGACCUCCUCGUUACCCCAGGUACAGACACACACCUACCAGGACCGCCUUGUUACCCCAGGUAUGAUGAUCCGUCCACGGGGCGAGGCCAUGGAGAUCCUCUAUAACACCAAGGACACAGAGAGCUUUGACAUCUAUGCCCAGACACUGAACAACUUCCUCGAAUGUAAGCCGUUAAUAAACAAAAAACAUACAUCGACUAAAACAAUAAACAUAACAUUAAUGACAUCACACGUCCUCAGACCCACUUUUCCACCGUGUGCCGUGUUUUCCACCAGUACAUAGAGUAGCCAACCAAAUAGAAAGAGUAGCCAGCCAAGCUACUGGGUAAAAAAAACAAUUGGUGGCCUUUGGUACAUUCAACUGCCUUGAUUUCAACUCAAAUAUAAAAUUGAUUGAAUACUUUAUCAAGUUUACCUCCCAGGUUGGAAAAAUGUGUUGUUGUAUUGUGUAGAAUGACAUGACUUUACAAUUUAAAUGACUGCAAAUGUCGAAAUUCAGUGUAUUGUUAGUUGUUUUGAAUAUUGUCUAGACCUAUAUGAUCUGGGGUAUUUUCUGAGUAAGAUAACCUUUUUGAACAUUUAACCUGUCUUCUUUUGAGGUUAAAGUCUUAUGUCAAGUAGAAUUAUGUAUUUUAUUCUAACAGAAAAUAAAGUAAAGAGGCUGUGGUUUAGCUGUGUUUUUGUAGUGAUAACCUAGCAAGAGGCUGUUAUUUAGCUGUGAUCACCUAGCAAGAGGCUGUUAUUUAGCUGUGAUCACCUAGCAAGAGGAUGUUAUUUAGCUGUGAUCACCUAGCAAGAGGAUGUUAUUUAGCUGUCAUCACCUAGCAAGAGGAUGUUAUUUAGCUGUGCUUUUGAAGUGAUCACCAAGCUAUAGGCUUUUUUUGUUAGCUGUGAUCACCUAGCAACAGGGUGUUGUUUAGCUGUGAUCACCUAGCAAGAGGCUUUUGUUUAGCUGUGUUUUUGUAGUGAUCACCAAGCUAGAGGCUUCUUUUUUUAGCUGUGAUCACCUAGCAACAUGCUGUUGUUUAGCUGUGUUUUUGAAGUGAUCACCAAGCUAGAGGCUUCUUUUUUUAGCUGUGAUCACCUAGCAAGAGGCUAUUGUUUAGCUGUGAUCACCUAGCAACAGGCCGUUGUUUAGCUUUGAUCACCUAGCAAGUGGCUGUUAUUUAGCUGUGAUAACCUAGCAACAGGCUGUUGUUUAGCUGUGAUCACUUAGCAAGAGGAUGUUGUUUAGCUGUGAUCACCUAGCAAGAGGAUGUUGUUUAGCUGUGUUUUUGUAGUGAUCAUCAAACAAGAGGAUGUCGUUUUUUUUGUGAUCACCAAGCAAGAGGAUGUUGUUUAGCUGUGUUUUUGUAGUUAUCACCAAUUAACAGACUGUCGUUUAGGUGUGAUCACCUAGCAACAGGCUGUUGUUUAGCUGUGAUCACCAAGCUAGAGGCUUUUCUUUAGCUGUGGUCACCCAGCAACAGGCCGUUGUUUAGCUGUAAUCACCUAGCAACAGGUGGUUGUUUCACUGUGAUCACCUAGCAACAGGCUGUUGUUUAGCUGUGUUUUUGUAGUGAUCACCUAGCAACAUGCUGUUGUUUAGCUGUGUUUUUGUAGUGAUCACCAAGCAAGAGGAUGUCGUUUUUUUGUGAUCACCAAGCAAGAGGAUGUUGUUUAGCUGUGAUCACCUUGCAAGAGGCUGUUAUUUAGCUGUGUUUUUGUAGUGAUCACCUAGCAACAUGCGGUUGUUUAGCUGUGUUUUUGUAGUGAUCACCAAGCAAGGGGCUGUUGUUUAGCUGUGAUCACCUUGCAAGAGGUUGUUGUUUAGCUGUGUUUUUGUAGUGAUCACCAAGCAAGAGGCUGUUAUUUAGCUGUGAUAACCUAGCAAGAGGCUGUUGUUUAGCUGUAUUCACCAAGCUAGAGGCUUUGCUUUAGCUGUGAUCACCAAGCAAUAGGCCGUUGUUUAGCUCUGAUCAACUGGCAACAGGGUGUUGUUAAGCUGUGAUCACCUAGCAACAGGCUGUUGUUUAACUGUUAUCACCAAGCUAGAGGCUUUUCUUUAGCUGUGAUCACCCAGCAACAGGCCGUUGUUUAGUUGUAAUCACCUAGCAACAGGUGGUUGUUUAGCUGUGAUCACCUAGCAACAGGCUCUUCUUUAGCUGUAUUCACCAAGCUAAAGGCUUUCCUUUAGCUGUGAUCACCUAGCAACAGGCUCUUCUUUAGCUGUAUUCACCAAGCUAAAGGCUUUCCUUUAGCUGUGAUCACCCAGCAACAGGCCGUUGUUUAGUUGUAAUCACCUAGCAACAGGUGGUUGUUUAGCUGUGAUCACCUAGCAACAGGCUGUUCUUUAGCUGUGGUCACCCAGCAAUAGGCCGUUGUUUAGCUGUAAUAACCUAGAAACAGGUGGUUGUUUACCUGUGAUCACCUAGCAACAUGCUGUUGUUUAGCUGUGUUUUUGUAGUGAUCAUCAAGCAAGAGGCUGUCAUUUAGCUGUGAUCACCUAGCAACAGGCUGUUGUUUACCUGUGAUCACCUAGCAACAGGCUGUUGUUUAGCUGUGUUUUUGUAGUGAUCAUCAAGCAAGAGGCUGUCAUUUAGCUAUGAUGACCAAGCAAGAGGCUGUUGUUUACCUGUGAUUACCAAGCAAGAGGCUGUUGUUUAGCUGUGUUUUUGUAGUGAUCACCAAGCUAAAGGCUUUUUUUUAAUAGCUGUGACCACCUAGAAACAGGCUGUUGUUUAGCUGUGAUCACCUAGCAACAGGCUGUUGUUUUGCUGUGAUUUUGUAGUGAUCAUCAAACAAGAGGAUGUCGUUUAGCUGUGACACCAAGCAAGACGCUGUUGUUCAGCUUAGUUUUCGUAGUGAUCACCAAGCUAGAGUUUUUUUUGUUGCUGUGAUCACCUAGCAACAGACUGUUGUUUAGCUGUGAUCACCUAGCAAGAGGCUGUUGUUUAGCUGUGUUUUUGUAGUGAUCACCAAGCAAGAGACUGUCGUUUAGCUGUGAUCAACCAGCAACAGGCCAUUGUUUAGCUGUAAUCACAUAGCAACAGGUGGUUGUUUAGCUGUGUUUUUGUAUUGAUCACCAAGCAACAGACUGUCGAAU